Molecule: small RNA, 470 nt
Filed under: Pongo abelii (Sumatran orangutan)
Lineage: Eukaryota; Metazoa; Chordata; Mammalia; Primates; Hominidae
Description: processed transcript
Source: RNAcentral
UGAGGAAUGGAGUCGGUGGGCUGCUGCGGCGACUGCCGCGGCUCCUCCGUAGACCCACGGAGCACCUUCGUGUUGAGUAACCUGGCGGAGGUGGUGGAGCGUGUGCUCACCUUCCUGCCCGCCAAGGCGUUGCUGCGGGUGGCCUGCGUGUGCCGCUUAUGGAGAGAGUGUGUGCGCAGAGUAUUGCGGACCCAUCGGAGCGUAACCUGGAUCUCCGCAGGCCUGGCCGAGGCCAGCCACCUGGAGAGGCAUUGCUUGGUUCGAGUGGUAGCAGAGGAGCUUGAGACUCGGUUCAGAUUUUGCCAGUUGUCUCAAUAAGGUUCUUCAUGGCAAAAAGAUCUGUUCCCAAUCCAAGUUGCUCUAAAUCCUUGAGGAAUCACCACACUGUCCUCCACAAUGGUUGAACUAAUUUGCACUCCCACCAACAGUGUGAAAGUGUUCCUGUUUCUCUACAUCCUCUCCAGCAUCUG